Molecule: long non-coding RNA, 261 nt
Filed under: Durio zibethinus
Lineage: Eukaryota; Viridiplantae; Streptophyta; Magnoliopsida; Malvales; Malvaceae
Description: long non-coding RNA (DZIB_LNC002126)
Source: RNAcentral
GAUAAUUGAUUUGAUAAAUUUUAAUUAAUUUUAAAGAAUGCUUUAAAGAUAUUUAUUAGCAGAAUGUAUAAAUUUAAACACCCAAAAAAAGGAAAUUAAAGUACUUAUUAAAUUCAACAAGUAGUUGUUUCUAAAGCUUUCCAACCAAACACUUUCCACGUUUCUAUUCAUCAUUGCUUAUAAGAAAUUUCAAGAAAGAAAAGGCAUGAUUAAUUUCAUAUACCAAUGAUAAAAAUAUUUUUAUGAUAUCUUGUCAUGUUU